AUUGAACGCUGGCGGCAGGCCUAACACAUGCAAGUCGAGCGGAUGAAGGGAGCUUGCUCCUGGAUUCAGCGGCGGACGGGUGAGUAAAGCCUAGGAAUCUGCCUUGUAGUGGGGGAUAACGUCCGGAAACGGGCGCUAAUACCGCAUACGUCCUGAGGGAGAAAGUGGGGGAUCUUCGGACCUCACGCUAUCAGAUGAGCCUAGGUCGGAUUAGCUAGUUGGUGGGGUAAAGGCCUACCAAGGCGACGAUCCGUAACUGGUCUGAGAGGAUGAUCAGUCACACUGGAACUGAGACACGGUCCAGACUCCUACGGGAGGCAGCAGUGGGGAAUAUUGGACAAUGGGCGAAAGCCUGAUCCAGCCAUGCCGCGUGUGUGAAGAAGGUCUUCGGAUUGUAAAGCACUUUUAGUUGGGAGGAAGGGAAGUAAGUGAAAACCUUGCUGUUUUGACGGUACCAACAGAAUAAGCACCGGCUAACUUCGUG
RNAcentral lists this ribosomal RNA (484 nucleotides) under uncultured bacterium. Its description in RNAcentral is "partial 16S ribosomal RNA". It matches the Rfam family "Bacterial small subunit ribosomal RNA", at positions 30 to 507 of the family's 1533-position model. The record is from RNAcentral.